RNAcentral lists this ribosomal RNA (253 nucleotides) under uncultured bacterium. RNAcentral describes it as "partial 16S ribosomal RNA". It matches the Rfam family "Bacterial small subunit ribosomal RNA", at positions 524 to 776 of the family's 1533-position model. The record is from RNAcentral.
UACGUAGGGUGCAAGCGUUGUCCGGAAUUACUGGGCGUAAAGCGUGCGCAGGCGGUUUUGUAAGCCCGAUGUGAAAGCCCCGGGCUCAACCUGGGAAUGGCAUUUGGGACUGCAAGGCUGGAGUAUGGCAGAGGAGACUAGAAUUCCUGGUGUAGCAGUGAAAUGCGUAGAUAUCAGGAGGAAUACCGAUGGCGAAGGCAGGUCUCUGGGCCAAUACUGACGCUCAUGCACGAAAGCGUGGGGAGCAAACAGG